Notolabrus celidotus (New Zealand spotty) is the source of this 3963-nucleotide long non-coding RNA. RefSeq lists it as uncharacterized. NCBI's taxonomy places the organism in Eukaryota, Metazoa, Chordata, Actinopteri, Labriformes, Labridae. The record is from RefSeq and is a predicted model, not a curated record. The transcript is spliced from 3 exons.
GAGAACAGACCGGCCCCUAAUCUAUAAAGCAGCAUCAGUCUGACCCGGAGGACGACCUGUGAUUCUGCAGCUCAGAAUCAGUCGCCUGGAUCAGUUGCAGCCGGGAUUGAAGAUUGGUCCGGAGGGAUUUGCAACAGAACUUGACUGGACUGACUCUCCCUCAUCCGUCCCUCAUCUGUUCAGUUUGAUUUUUACUCUUUUGCAAAAACUCCUGCUCUGAACCACAACGACAGACUCUCCAUGUACCUCUUCUACGUCACAGACUCUGGGGCUUCAUGCUAACUUCGUUAAGCUACGUUUUUCGGAUGCACUGAAGGCGGCCAUUUUCAUUUUUUGUCAUUUUGUGCUCUUUUGUCUCACCUCUCACUCCCUUUUAUAAAGAUCCUAAAAACAAGCAAACACAAUAUUAAACCUAUUUAUCCCCCUGAUCUUAAACUCCACUCUGCUCUGUGUAAAUAAAACCAGCGUAGCAGCAGCUGUAGCGCCGUAUCACGCCGUUUAUUCACUCCCGAUCUGUCGUCAUUAAGUGGAAGCAGACAUGAACAGGCCCGUGUUACGGUUCUGUGUUCACGGCUGAGCGAGCACGCUUCACUGAGUCACAGAUCAGUCAUUUAUUAUUUAUACCCCCUGAAAUGUUCAUUAACAUCUCAUAAAGUUUACAUUUAAGGACAUGAAUAGGAAGGUCGUGUUUUUCCGAUGUGAAAUGUUUUGUAAGAUAUCAGUCGGGCUCAGAUUAGCAUCUCAGAGACUUUGGUAAAGGGUUAGCUUGUAGCUUUAAGGUUAAAGGAGCUAGCUAGUUCUUUAAUUUUAGGAUCAUUUGAAGCUAAAGACGUUGGAGCCGGUCAAAACGUCUGGUUGAGAUAAGCUAACGAAUCAGAAUAGUUUAGCUAGGCUACACAAUUUGUUUAUUAAACUGCUAGGUUUGAUAUUAGCAGGUAAAAAAAUGUGUUUCAAGUUAUUUCUGAACAUUUGGUUCAGGCUAGCUAAAAGUUUUGUUCUGGUUAGCUAACAGAGAGAUAUAGCGGAUCUGAAGCCUGUUGUCAGUUAGCUAUUUUGACCAGUUCAGCUAACAUUACAGUUUUAACAUGGCUAACAAACAAUAAAACUAGUUAAGCUAAGCUAACUGAUACAUUUAGAAGAUAUAACAGCUUGCUUCAGGCUAGCUAAAUAAUUUCUUAUUCAAAGCUGUAUGAUUCAAAUUAGCUAAACGAUCUUAUUAGCAUGUCAAAAAGUAACGUAAAGGUUAGCUAAUAUGAGUUUGCAAUUUAAAACACAACCUGUAAGCUAACGCAGAAGUUAGCAACCAUUUUCCGCUGAGGUUAGCUAACGAAUCACCGAGCAGAUGAAUCACUCCACUUUAGCAAGCUGUUUUGAAGCUAUUACAGUUGCUACAUGAAAGCUAGCAGACAUGAUCACUGUAAAGAGCGAGCACGUGUUCACGUUAGCUAACAGUUCCUACGGUAGCUAGAACAGUUAAUCCACCUGAAUGCUAACAGAGCUUUUUAGCAGCCUAAAGUCGACUUAGGUUAGCUAACACAUCAGUUUAGCAAAUUUAACAUCCAUGUUAGCUCACGUCUUCUUUAGAAUCUAUUACAGAGCAGUUAACGAGUAUUAACAGUUAGCCAAGGUAAGCUAAUGGAUAAGGUAAGUGGAUGGAACAGUCCAUGUUAGCUCACAAUUUCUAUACAAGCUAUGACAGAGUGCUAAACCUGUCAGCUAACAGAGCAGUGAACACUCAUGAACAGUUGGCUAAGGUAAGCUAAUGUUAGCUCACCAUUCCUAUGUUAGCUAUAACCGUGCUUAACCUGCAAGCUAACUGAACAGUUAAAAUUCAUGGACAGUUGGCUAAGGUAAGCUAAUACUAGCUCACAAUUUCUAUGCUAGCUAUGGCAGAGUGUUACACCUGUAAGCUAACAGAGCAGUUAACAAGCACAAACAGUUGGCUAAGGUAAGCUAAUGUUAGCUCACCAUUCCUAUGUUAGCUAUAACCGUGCUUAACCUGCAAGCUAACUGAACAGUUAAAAUUCAUGGACAGUUGGCUAAGGUAAGCUAAUACUAGCUCACAAUUUCUAUGCUAGCUAUCGCAGAGUGUUACACCUGUAAGCUAACAGAGCAGUUAACAAGCACAAACAGUUGGCUAAGGUAAGCUAAUGUUAGCUCACCAUUCCUAUGUAAGCUAUAACCGUGCUUAACCUGCAAGCUAACUGAACAGUUAAAAUUCAUGGACAGUUGGCUAAGGUAAGCUAAUACUAGCUCACAAUUUCUAUGCUAGCUAUGGCAGAGUGUUACACCCGUAAGCUAACAGAGCAGUUAACAAGCACAAACAGUUGGCUAAGGUAAGCUAAUGUUAGCUCACCAUUCCUAUGUUAGCUAUAACCGUGCUUAACCUGCAAGCUAACUGAACAGUUAAAAUUCAUGGACAGUUGGCUAAGGUAAGCUAAUACUAGCUCACAAUUUCUAUGCUAGCUAUGGCAGAGUGUUACACCUGUAAGCUAACAGAGCAGUUAACAAACACAAACAGUUGGCUAAGGUAAGCUAAUGUUAGCUCACCAUUCCUAUGUUAGCUAUAACCGUGCUUAACCUGCAAGCUAACUGAACAGUUAAAAUUCAUGGACAGUUGGCUAAGGUAAGCUAAUACUAGCUCACAAUUUCUAUGCUAGCUAUGGCAGAGUGUUACACCUGUAAGCUAACAGAGCAGUUAACAAGCACAAACAGUUGGCUAAGGUAAGCUAAUGUUAGCUCACCAUUCCUAUGUUGGCUAUAACCGUGCUUAACCUGCAAGCUAACUGAACAGUUAAAAUUCAUGGACAGUUGGCUAAGGUAAGCUAAUACUAGCUCACAAUUUCUAUGCUAGCUAUGGCAAAGUGAUAUACCUGUAAGCUAACAGAGCAGUUAACAAGCACAAACAGUUGGCUAAGGUAAGCUAAUGUUAGCUCACCAUUCCUAUGUUGGCUAUAACCGUGCUUAACCUGCAAGCUAACUGAACAGUUAAAAUUCAUGGACAGUUGGCUAAGGUAAGCUAAUACUAGCUCACAAUUUCUAUGCUAGCUAUGGCAAAGUGAUAUACCUGUCGGCCAACAGAGCAGUUAACAAGCAUAAGAACUGGCUACAGUAAGCUAAUGCAUUAUGCAGAUAAACAGUCCAAAUUAGCCAACAAUUCCUGUAGCUGCUAACAGGGCACUUAACUGACACAAAAAGUUAGCAUAGGUUAGCUACAGAGCUAGUAUAUUUGAUUAGUGACAGUAACACAUCAGUUUGAUUAAACAGCUUUGUUUGGCUUUGUUAGCUAAGUUAGCAACGAAACAGCUCUAUCACGAGGGUGCUCAGAUAAAAGUUGUCGUUAGCUAAAGACUUCGUUAAGAUCGUUGUGGUUUAAAUGUGUUCGUACCGAAGUUUCUGGUUCUGGUCUUGGACUGAAGUUCCGGAAUGUUCGACGCCUUCAAAGCAUCAAAGCAAAGUGAACAUUCCAGAAGACGACUCGUUCCAUCCAGAGUUCCGCUCUACAUACGAUUUCUUUUUUUUAUAUUCUGUCACUGUUUUCUUGUUUAUGAUAACUUUUUAAUGUUUUUAUUUUAUCAACACUCUUUUAUUCGCUGUGUAUCAAAAUGUUUGUUUUAGUUUCAGACUGUUUCAACGGAGAGCAAAGAUCGUCCUCGAAGCCGCACGGGCGUGAGCGGCGCCACCCGACUGUAAAUAUGUUGAAAGCGUUCGUGUAAAAAAAGUAGCUGGUUUAAAAAAAAGACACUUGAAAAUAUUGAAAAUAUUUAUGUGUACAACAGAGACUCUUUGUACUUACAUAUUAUUUGAAAUUAAAAAACAAAGGUCAUGAAAUGUUAAAACUUGAACCCCUGUGUACAGACCCGUUCUGGAUCCAGCUCGUAGUUUCUGCUCACGGUGUCGUCGUGCUUGUGAUAAAUGUGUCUUUUUUUCAGUUUGUGUGUAGUAAAGAUAUUUUCUACGAAA